This is a non-coding RNA of Amborella trichopoda, 1208 nucleotides long. The record is from RefSeq and is a predicted model, not a curated record. NCBI's taxonomy places the organism in Eukaryota, Viridiplantae, Streptophyta, Magnoliopsida, Amborellales, Amborellaceae.
AACUAUCUAGGAUUUUCAAGCUUUGCAUUUCAGCAUCCUAGAUAGGGUUUCGGAAGACGACAGCAAAAGCGUUGUAGAGACAAAACGAGAAAUACUUUUCACAGAUCCCUUUCCAAGGAUCCGAAUGACCCCUAGAACGAAGAGAUUUUUUCAGAACCAUUGGAGGAGGAGGGUUCUUUUAGAGAGAGAAAAUGUCAUUUCUUAAGGGAUUAUUGAGCUCAGGUAUGCUUAGAAAGAGGCUGAAUCUCUACAAUCGCAUCAGAGGAGGAGACCAUGGCCAUGGCCAUGGUCAUGGAGAGAGUAGAUGGACCAGCCAAGGGAUGCAGGAGAGGCUUAAUGGCUACUUGUUCAUCAGGACUCCUCCACCUCCUGGUCAAUCGAGGGAAUGGGAGGAUUGGGAGCUCCCCUACUAUGUUACUGCAUUUCUCACUGUUGUGAUUCUUGGAAUCGGGCUCAACGCCAAGCCUGAUCUCACUCUCGAGACCUGGGCUCACAAUAAAGCCAUAGAACGUCUUGACGCUCAGGGAAUUUCUGUGCCUGAGGACGCAAAUUGAAGCUCCUAAUGGUGUAAGAGGUUGAAGAGCAUGAGUCAUGAGCCGUUAGUUAUGAAGAGAUUCUCAAAGAAGAUAAUGGUUGGAAGCGUAUUGGACGAGCCUAAACCCUGGACAUUGGCCAAGCAUUGUGCUGAUGCCGGUAACCCUGUACCUCACAGGGAUGAGAAGGAGGUGCAACACUUGAGGAAGGCUAUGAAAGCAGGGCACUCAGACUCUAUUUAUGCCUUGGGGUUGAUCCAACUAAGUACAGGAGACCUUUCACAGGGGGUGGAAUUGAUGGAAAGGAUCGAGAAACAAAGUCAAAAUUUAAUCUCAUAUCGUAGAAAAAAUACAAGGAGUACUCUUAGUAGUCUAUGGAUCAAUGAGGGAUUGUCAUGGAGAAAACGAAAUUGCAGGAAUCCGAAAUGCAUGGUGCAGAGAUCAAUGGGGUGGGAUCAGGUGGAAGAUACAAGUGGUUGCCGUUCAGUUGAAUGCAGGUGGAAUUGGGAGCUCAAUAGGUUCUGCAAAGAUCGAGUUCCCUGUUAGUUAAUGUGUGUGUGGUUGAGAUUUGAGAUGUUAUGACUUGAUCUUUUAUCUUUUUUGUGUAAUUUGGGUUGUUUAAUUAGAUGGACCCAACUCUUAUAUUAUUUUUAUGUGAUAUUUCAAAAUAAUGUG